CAGUCGCCGCGGUAAUACCGAGGGUGCGAGCGUUAAUCGGAUUUACUGGGCGUAAAGCGUGCGUAGGAGGCUUCUUAAGUCGGAUGUGAAAUCCCUGAGCUUAACUUAGGAAUUGCAUUCGAUACUGGGAAGCUAGAGUAUGGGAGAGGAUGGUAGAAUUCCAGGUGUAGCGGUGAAAUGCGUAGAGAUCUGGAGGAAUACCGAUGGCGAAGGCAGCCAUCUGGCCUAAUACUGACGCUGAGGAGCGAAAGCGUGGGGAGCGAACAGGAUUAGAUACCCGAGUAGUCCCUGUCUCUUAUCA
Molecule: ribosomal RNA, 301 nt
Filed under: uncultured bacterium
Lineage: Bacteria
Description: partial 16S ribosomal RNA
Rfam family: Bacterial small subunit ribosomal RNA
Source: RNAcentral